UUAAUAGGGCUGCAUAGCAGGUUACUUUGAUAUAGUAAAUUGUGAAUUUAUUUUCCGUUAAUACU
RNAcentral lists this transfer RNA (65 nucleotides) under Echinococcus granulosus. RNAcentral's name for it is "tRNA-Ile". The record is from RNAcentral. Lineage: Eukaryota; Metazoa; Platyhelminthes; Cestoda; Cyclophyllidea; Taeniidae.